This is a non-coding RNA of Oncorhynchus mykiss (rainbow trout), 2155 nucleotides long. NCBI's taxonomy places the organism in Eukaryota, Metazoa, Chordata, Actinopteri, Salmoniformes, Salmonidae. The record is from RefSeq and is a predicted model, not a curated record.
AUCUAUACGACUGGCAAGCACAUUUCUACGGAAGCCCAUACAGUAUGGACUAUAUAGCCUGCAUUUGAAUAAGAGUUUGUUCAACAACAAAAGUUAAGAAAUAAAUAAGGGUUAAGGCUGUUGUCAUAAACUGACUUCCAGUUGUCAUGCCUGUUUAUGACAUAUUUAUAACACUGUUAUGAUGGAUUCAUGGGAAGUUUAACCAUGUUUUUCUUCUGUCAUGUUCUAUCAAUCCAUUCAUGAGGCUAUGGCCCUCUUGCGCUGUUGCCCUUCUCAUCCCUCCAGCAGAUGAGUGUGGUGACGGUGGCCCCCGGGGGACAGCCAUCCCUCGCCUUUAUCAAAGAGGGCCCGAGAUCAUGGCCAGGCUCUGCCUGAAAGAAAGCAGUACGGGAGAAAGACAAAGAGAGAGGAGAGAUAAAGAGAGCCAUGAAGGGGGAGUUAGAGAUAGACAUGCAGUCCCUGCGGUCUGCUGGUAAUGAACAAUCUGGUCAAGCCGGUGAGUGCUGAGGUCAUAACUACCCUCAUAUUGGCACAUCUUCAUAUCAUCAUGGUCACUGGUAUGAAUAGCAUCUCUCUGUCUUUGUAGCCCAAACAUGGUCUGUUCUACUGUUAAUAAACUGUGCUCUGGAUCAGAUGACAUUCACAAAUACUUGAAAUAGCUUAUCUAUUGACUACUGUGAAGUUGGUCCAAUUAAAUGAAAGACAGGAAGAAUGGUAUCCUAACUUGUUGCGGGUCUAUAGGAUACCUUGUGAGUAUAAAACCAUCACAGAACAGGUGAGGAAUUUAUUCUGCAAUGAUUCUAAUCUAACCUAGGAAAAGGAUGCCUAUUUCUAAUUAUUCUAGAAUGCAAAGAAACAAAAUUGCUGUUCUCUCUUCUCACUAACAGCAAACAAUUUCAUCUUAUCAAUUUGUUAUGAACAAACGUGUCCAUCUUAUCCCCCAUUUGCACAAAAUACUAGGCUACUUGCCUGCUUGCAAUACUUCAAGCACUAGAAACUGUGGAUACGCAUGGUCUAAAGUUUGCGAGAUGGUGAGCACAUUCUAACCUCAAAUUGAGUUUUUAUAAAGGUACAUUUUGUGUGAAAACUGCCACACGCAUGUUUUAGGGUAUGUUUUGUAUGUACGCAUGGUUUAUAAAUUAGGCCCCAGAGGAGGAGACGGGACUAGAAUGACAUUGAUUGAAAGUAUGGAAAAGGAGAAAGACAAAGAAACUCUGUAGCGAAUGGAGGUACAUGAAAGGACAGACGAAGGGCAGAUUCUUCCAUUGAUUGGCUCAGUUCACUUUGGCACAGCUCAGUAGUGUGAAAAGGGUACAGGCCUAAGGUCUCACCCACUCCCCAUCUCCCUCCCUGUGUAGCUACAGUGUGGGCAUAUGGGGAGACGGGCUCAAUGACUGCGGAGCCUUGAGGGCCGCAGAUGUAAGUGUGUCUGUCUGAGGAUGAUGCUUCUGUGGACUCUCCCUUCACCUCCAAGUCAGACAACAUCAGCUGUACACGGAGAAGACUAACCUGGUCAACCUGCAGUUCCUGUUCUUUCCUGGUGAUGCUGCUGGCAAUCAUUAUAGGGAAAGGGGGACCCAGCAUUGAGCUGUGCCCCUAGCGGCCCCACACCAGACUUCUGGCGCUGCCGGUCCUAGCUAGCCUGAUGCUGCACACCCUGCUGCUCAUCCUGGGCCAGGUGUCCACUCUGCAGAUCACCACCACCCAGUACUGAUACUGAUAGUACCGCAUGCCUUGGUCUGUCUGCGUCUGCUACAAGGGAGGCAACCGUCCAAUAAGCAGUACAAGCGCCUAGAAGUCCUCCUGUCAGACUCGCCCUCCUAGCCCAACCACUAGCCCCGCCCCAAUGCAGUCAUUGGCCUGAGCUAGCAUCAGCCUCCCCUCCCAUUGGACAAUAUUAUUCCCCCGGCCAGAGUGCCUGGGAUCUGAGUCAAAUGAGCAAACUCUGAGGUAUGUUUUACACAUUUUAAUUUUCAACAGCAAUGUGAAGUACAAUACUGUGCCACUGGUAGCAGCCAGCAAUAUUAGACUAUAAAACGUCAAAUAACCUUGUCAGGUUGCAUUCAUUUGUGAGAAUUGAGAAACUUGAAAUGUUUAGUAAAGAGCGAAUUUGAUCCCAUAAAUAAAGAUUUGUUCAAUAGGGGACUCCGAUGGA